This 443-nucleotide long non-coding RNA is filed under the name Brassica napus (rape). Its description in RNAcentral is "long non-coding RNA (BNAP_LNC026536)". The record is from RNAcentral. Lineage: Eukaryota; Viridiplantae; Streptophyta; Magnoliopsida; Brassicales; Brassicaceae.
GGGAAUCUCAAAUAGUUAUCGACACAUGCUAAUAGUAAAGUGAUAAACCAUAUCAGGAGAAAUUACUCAAGAAGAUGAGGAAAAAUCUUGUGAUAAAAGAUUCCGAGUCUCAUCAAAUAGAUUUCGCAUGUCGCCUUCUCGGGUCGCAAUCUUCUACAUGUCCGUCUGUCGGCAAAACCUGUCUUUAAUUCAAUGAUCAUACCCGCUUUUAUUUACUUUCGCUGCGUGUAAUACUACUAUUUAUGAUGAUGUAAUAAAAUGAGUUUUGUUGAGACCAGUAAUUAGUUUUUGUAGAAAAAUACAUCGAUUACUAAUAUGGAUAAAAACAUAAACGAGCCACCUUUUUUAUUCACGUGGUCUUUCAUGCGUAUUGCACCUGGAGCCAACGAAAGCUGAUUUGUUCUUCCUCCUCAGUUCUCUCCCUCUUGUUACUUAUUUCGUGC